AAAUUGAAGAGUUUGAUCAUGGCUCAGAUUGAACGCUGGCGGCAGGCCUAACACAUGCAAGUCGAGCGGUAGCACAGAGAGCUUGCUCUCGGGUGACGAGCGGCGGACGGGUGAGUAAUGUCUGGGAAACUGCCUGAUGGAGGGGGAUAACUACUGGAAACGGUAGCUAAUACCGCAUAACGUCGCAAGACCAAAGUGGGGGACCUUCGGGCCUCAUGCCAUCAGAUGUGCCCAGAUGGGAUUAGCUAGUAGGUGGGGUAACGGCUCACCUAGGCGACGAUCCCUAGCUGGUCUGAGAGGAUGACCAGCCACACUGGAACUGAGACACGGUCCAGACUCCUACGGGGAGGCAGCAGUGGGGAAUAUUGCACAAUGGGCGCAAGCCUGAUGCAGCCAUGCCGCGUGUGUGAAGAAGGCCUUCGGGUUGUAAAGCACUUUCAGCGGGGAGGAAGGCGUUAAGGUUAAUAACCUUGGCGAUUGACGUUACCCGCAGAAGAAGCACCGGCUAACUCCGUGCCAGCAGCCGCGGUAAUACGGAGGGUGCAAGCGUUAAUCGGAAUUACUGGGCGUAAAGCGCACGCAGGCGGUCUGUCAAGUCGGAUGUGAAAUCCCCGGGCUCAACCUGGGAACUGCAUUCGAAACUGGCAGGCUAGAGUCUUGUAGAGGGGGGUAGAAUUCCAGGUGUAGCGGUGAAAUGCGUAGAGAUCUGGAGGAAUACCGGUGGCGAAGGCGGCCCCCUGGACAAAGACUGACGCUCAGGUGCGAAAGCGUGGGGAGCAAACAGGAUUAGAUACCCUGGUAGUCCACGCCGUAAACGAUGUCGAUUUGGAGGUUGUGCCCUUGAGGCGUGGCUUCCGGAGCUAACGCGUUAAAUCGACCGCCUGGGGAGUACGGCCGCAAGGUUAAAACUCAAAUGAAUUGACGGGGGCCCGCACAAGCGGUGGAGCAUGUGGUUUAAUUCGAUGCAACGCGAAGAACCUUACCUGGUCUUGACAUCCACAGAACUUUCCAGAGAUGGAUUGGUGCCUUCGGGAACUGUGAGACAGGUGCUGCAUGGCUGUCGUCAGCUCGUGUUGUGAAAUGUUGGGUUAAGUCCCGCAACGAGCGCAACCCUUAUCCUUUGUUGCCAGCGGUCCGGCCGGGAACUCAAAGGAGACUGCCAGUGAUAAACUGGAGGAAGGUGGGGAUGACGUCAAGUCAUCAUGGCCCUUACGACCAGGGCUACACACGUGCUACAAUGGCAUAUACAAAGAGAAGCGACCUCGCGAGAGCAAGCGGACCUCAUAAAGUAUGUCGUAGUCCGGAUUGGAGUCUGCAACUCGACUCCAUGAAGUCGGAAUCGCUAGUAAUCGUAGAUCAGAAUGCUACGGUGAAUACGUUCCCGGGCCUUGUACACACCGCCCGUCACACCAUGGGAGUGGGUUGCAAAAGAAGUAGGUAGCUUAACCUUCGGGAGGGCGCUUACCACUUUGUGAUUCAUGACUGGGGUGAAGUCGUAACAAGGUAACCGUAGGGGAACCUGCGGUUGGAUCACCUCCUUACCUUAAAGAA
This 1551-nucleotide ribosomal RNA is filed under the name Klebsiella pneumoniae. RNAcentral's name for it is "bacterial SSU rRNA". It matches the Rfam family "Bacterial small subunit ribosomal RNA". The record is from RNAcentral. Lineage: Bacteria; Pseudomonadati; Pseudomonadota; Gammaproteobacteria; Enterobacterales; Enterobacteriaceae.